Molecule: transfer RNA, 70 nt
Filed under: Dipodomys ordii (Ord's kangaroo rat)
Lineage: Eukaryota; Metazoa; Chordata; Mammalia; Rodentia; Heteromyidae
Rfam family: tRNA
About the family: Transfer RNA (tRNA) molecules are approximately 80 nucleotides in length. Their secondary structure includes four short double-helical elements and three loops (D, anti-codon, and T loops). Further hydrogen bonds mediate the characteristic L-shaped molecular structure. tRNAs have two regions of fundamental functional importance: the anti-codon, which is responsible for specific mRNA codon recognition, and the 3' end, to which the tRNAs corresponding amino acid is attached (by aminoacyl-tRNA synthetases). tRNAs cope with the degeneracy of the genetic code in two manners: having more than one tRNA (with a specific anti-codon) for a particular amino acid; and 'wobble' base-pairing, i.e. permitting non-standard base-pairing at the 3rd anti-codon position.
Source: Rfam by way of RNAcentral
GGGAAUGUGGCUUAGUGGUAGAGUGCUUGCCUAGCAUGCACAAAGCCCUGGGUUCAAUUCCCCAGCACCA